Molecule: long non-coding RNA, 1100 nt
Organism: Dreissena polymorpha
Lineage: Eukaryota; Metazoa; Mollusca; Bivalvia; Myida; Dreissenidae
Exons: 2
Source: RefSeq, a predicted model, not a curated record
ACCAAAAGAUUUCCUGCACAAAUUCAAUGUAAAAGCAAUAACUUCAACAAAAAAUAAAGUCAAACUUUUGCGCGUAGACACCCCCAUAACCAUGCCUUUUCUUAAAGAGCAUUCCAAGCCGCAAUGAUUUAAACAAUAAAAAACAUAGGUCAUCCAAUAUGUAAGAAAGAACUCAAUACGAAUAAGCGGUCACUGUUUUAUGGCCAUCUUUUUACCGGCAUCCCUCCAGUUGAUGAUGGUUUCCCGCCAACUGUCAAAGUCUUAUGUAGUCUCCAACCUUAAAGCAGAACAGGGAAUUUGUAGUAUACAACAAUGUUUUCCCUACCACAUGAACACAGAAAUAUUCAAAAAUAAAGUCAUGGCAAGUGCCCGUACAGAGAAUUGUGUCUUCAAAUAAAUAAAGAUUUUGUUUUUAGAGGGUAUAGCAUUGAACACCAAAAGUAUUUAGUGUAUUGUAACCUUAAGGUCAAAUCAGCCUAAGAAAUAAAUCAAGUGUCGUCUGGGGUUGUAUAAAAGGUCAUUUAAGGUGAAAAACUGGGUUAAGGAGCUACACAGAAAAACUAAUUCAGGUUGCAUCAUCAAUAGCUCUUGCUGAGAGAUAAUUUAAUUAUUAUCUAGCUACAUGGCAUCACCUUUAGAGGUUUCAUAGCCGGGACCUUGCAUUCUGCCAUCUCUUCAUGGCGGCCAAGAAGACGGGCAAGAUCGGCAAAACGAAGGUAGACGUCGGCUUCAUCAGUGAAGGCUUCUCCAACUGGAAAGCGGGGUACCAAGAAGUUCCGGAAGCAAGACGAAAGCGAGUGCCACAAGGAGGCGGUCAAGCUACUGGUGACGCUUCCCGCCACUAUGCGUGACGUGAGAAAGACGCUGUCAGUGGGGCACGCUAAGGAGAAGGCCGACAACCGGAAGCAGCUGCUGCAAAUCCUACACAGCUUACGGUUCCUCGCCCACCAGGGCAUCACACUACGUGGGCAUGAUAACGAUGAGGGAAACUUCAUGCAGCUGCUACACCACCACGGUUGUGUGUUGUGAAUGUAAUGUUUAAUAAUGUAAUUAUUUCUCAUAUCACUUGGUAAACUCUGCCAUUAAAAUACAUAAACAUU